RNAcentral lists this ribosomal RNA (301 nucleotides) under uncultured bacterium. Its description in RNAcentral is "partial 16S ribosomal RNA". It matches the Rfam family "Bacterial small subunit ribosomal RNA", at positions 509 to 807 of the family's 1533-position model. The record is from RNAcentral.
CAGUCGCCGCGGUAAGACGGAGGGUGCUAGCGUUGUUCGGAAUCACUGGGCGUAAAGGGCGCGUAGGCGGCCUGUUAAGUCGGAUGUGAAAGCCCGGGGCUCAACCCCGGAACUGCAUCCGAGACUGGCAGGCUUGAGACCGGGAGAGGAGGGUGGAAUAUCCAGUGUAGAGGUGAAAUUCGUAGAUAUUGGAUGGAACACCGGUGGCGAAAGCGGCUCUCUGGCCCGGAUCUGACGCUGAGGCGCGAAAGCGUGGGGAGCAAACAGGAUUAGAUACCCCUGUAGUCCCUGUCUCUUAUAC